This 496-nucleotide ribosomal RNA is filed under the name uncultured bacterium. RNAcentral's name for it is "partial 16S ribosomal RNA". It matches the Rfam family "Bacterial small subunit ribosomal RNA", at positions 29 to 507 of the family's 1533-position model. The record is from RNAcentral.
AUGAACGCUGGCGGCGUGCCUAAUACAUGCAAGUCGAGCGAACAGACGAGGAGCUUGCUCCUCUGACGUUAGCGGCGGACGGGUGAGUAACACGUGGAUAACCUACCUAUAAGACUGGGAUAACUUCGGGAAACCGGAGCUAAUACCGGAUAAUAUAUUGAACCGCAUGGUUCAAUAGUGAAAGACGGUUUUGCUGUCACUUAUAGAUGGAUCCGCGCCGCAUUAGCUAGUUGGUAAGGUAACGGCUUACCAAGGCGACGAUGCGUAGCCGACCUGAGAGGGUGAUCGGCCACACUGGAACUGAGACACGGUCCAGACUCCUACGGGAGGCAGCAGUAGGGAAUCUUCCGCAAAGGGCGAAAGCCUGACGGAGCAACGCCGCGUGAGUGAUGAAGGUCCUCGGAUCGUAAAACUCUGUUAUUAGGGAAGAACAAAUGUGUAAGUAACUAUGCACGUCUUGACGGUACCUAAUCAGAAAGCCACGGCUAACUACGUG